This 1056-nucleotide long non-coding RNA is filed under the name Homo sapiens (human). RNAcentral's name for it is "HSALNT0373040". Lineage: Eukaryota; Metazoa; Chordata; Mammalia; Primates; Hominidae. The record is from RNAcentral.
CUGAAGUGUAAGCUUCAUUAGCUUUACAUUAAAUCUGCCCCUUAACACAACUUUCCCAGACAGGGAAUUUACUUUUUUGAAGAAAAAAAAAAAAACCAAAAACACUUUUAUUGAGAUAUAACUUACAUAGCAUACAAUUCAUGUAUUUAAUGUGUAUGAUCCACUGGUUUUUAGCAUAUUUACAGAGUUGUGCAACCGUCACCCCAAUUUAUUGUAGAACAUUUUCAAAACCCCAAAAAGACAUCCUGUACCCAUUAGCAGCCAUCAUCACUUCCCCAACCCACCCAGCCCUGGGAAGCUACGAAUCUACUUUCUCUAUAUAUAGAUUUGCCAGUUUUGGGCAUUUGAGAGAAAUGGAAUCAUACAAUGGAUGGUCUUUUGUGGUUGGCUUCUUUCACUUAGCCUAAUGUUUUCAGCCUUCAUCCACGUUGUAGCAUGUGGCUACAUUUUUUAUUGCUUAAUAAUAUUCCAUUAUAUGAAUAUGCCACACUUUUAAAAUCCACUCAUCAAUGGAUAAAAUGUAUUAAUUCUUUAAAUCUCCUUUUUUUAUUUUUUAUUUUAUUAUACUUUAAGUUCUAGGGUACAUGUGCACAACGUGCAGGUUUGUUACAUAUGUAUACAUGUGCCAUGUUGGUUUGCUGCACCCAUUAACUCAUCAUUUACAUUAGGUAUUUCUCCUAAUGCUAUCCCUCCCCCAUCCCCCCACCCCACAACAAGCCCCGGUGUGUGAUGUUCCCUGCCCUUUAAAUCUCCUGGAGACACAGUUGAUGGCAUCCCUAGGGAAAGGGGAAAUCCUAUUUCCUUAGCUUCAUCCUUAGCCCUUCCUCUUCUGUUUCCUCCUUUCCCAUCCCCAGAUUCUGGUUGUAUUGGAAAUUAAGAGAGAAUCAGAGCCGGUGAGCUGGGUACCAUCAUUUCCAUUGUGUUACUGAGAACUCCUGGUUCUUGAGCUCCAUGACACAGGCCCUGCCUGUGGGGUGAGCUGGGUAGCAGCUGCCAUUCUUCUGCUUGCUGGUAGGAUUUGGUCCAAGGAAUGGGCCGGCCCAGGGCACUGAUGGA